AGAGUUUGAUCCUGGCUCAGAACGAACGCUGGCGGCAUGCCUAACACAUGCAAGUCGAACGAACCCUUCGGGGUUAGUGGCGCACGGGUGCGUAACGCGUGGGAAUCUGCCCUUAGGUACGGAAUAACAGUGAGAAAUUACUGCUAAUACCGUAUGAUGUCUUCGGACCAAAGAUUUAUCGCCUAGGGAUGAGCCCGCGUAGGAUUAGCUAGUUGGUGAGGUAAAGGCUCACCAAGGCUACGAUCCUUAGCUGGUCUGAGAGGAUGAUCAGCCACACUGGGACUGAGACACGGGCCAGACUCCUACGGGAGGCAGCAGUGGGGAAUAUUGGACAAUGGGCGAAAGCCUGAUCCAGCAAUGCCGAGUGAGUGAAGAAGGCCUUAGGAUUGUAAAGCUCUUUUACCCGGGAAGAUAAUGACCGUACCGGGAGAAUAAGCCCCGGCUAACUCCGAGCCAGCAGCCGUGGUAAUACGGAGGGGGCUAG
Molecule: ribosomal RNA, 484 nt
Filed under: uncultured freshwater bacterium
Lineage: Bacteria
Description: bacterial SSU rRNA
Rfam family: Bacterial small subunit ribosomal RNA
Source: RNAcentral